AACAUCGCGCACCUGCGGGAACCUGCGGAAGGAUCAUUACAGAGUUGCAAAACUCCCUAAACCAUUGUGAACGUUACCUAAACCGUUGCUUCGGCGGGCGGCCCGGGUCCUUCCCGGCGCCCCUCGGCCCUCGCGGGCGCCCGCCGGAGGUAAACCAAACUAUUGCAUUGUAUGGCCUCUCUGAGUCUUCUGUACUGAAUAAGUCAAAACUUUCAACAACGGAUCUCAGAUCGGAAGAGC
This 240-nucleotide unclassified non-coding RNA is filed under the name soil metagenome. RNAcentral describes it as "partial contains 5.8S ribosomal RNA, internal transcribed spacer 2, and large subunit ribosomal RNA". The record is from RNAcentral.